Molecule: long non-coding RNA, 176 nt
Filed under: Lonchura striata (white-rumped munia)
Lineage: Eukaryota; Metazoa; Chordata; Aves; Passeriformes; Estrildidae
Description: domestica (Bengalese finch) lncRNA (ENSLSDG00000011722.1)
Source: RNAcentral
GGGGCGCCGGGGGCGGUGUCCAGGCUCGGCUUUGAGCCCGGCGGCCGCGCCGAGCUGAGGUCAGCAGGACCACAACAACAGGCAAAAUGACAGCUGUGAGAUUUGAGCAAGGGACCCCGCCAAGAGAGUCAUCUGGUAGAGGAUAAGAAGGUAACAUUUGGUGCACUUCAUGUUUC